UGAAGUGUAGGUUCAGACCUGUAGGGGGAUCCGCCCGGCAAAUCCGGUGGGUCAUAUUCCCUGAGGGGUCAUGGCGAGGGCCGCAAGGUCCGCAAAGUCGCAGACGCCACGCUGCCAAGAAAAUCCUCUAAGGAGUCUUUUGGGUACCCGUACCGUAAACCGACACAGGUAGGCGAGGAGAAAAUCCUCAGGUGCGAGUGAGAACCCUCGUUUAGGAACUCGGCAAACUCACCCCGUAACUUCGGAAGAAGGGGUGCUCCGUUAGCGUUAGAUGGUUCGCCCAUCGAAGCGUGAGGGAGUUGCAAUAAAGAGGCCCAGGCAACUGUUUACUAAAAACACAGGGCUAUGCCAAGUCGAAUACGACGUAUAUGGCCUGACGCCUGCCCGGUGCCGGAAGGUUAAAGGGAGAGGUUAGCCGCAAGGCGAAGCUUCGAGCUGAAGCCCCGGUAAACGGCGGCCGUAACUAUAACGGUCCUAAGGUAGCGAAAUUCCUUGUCGGGUAAGUUCCGACCUGCACGAAUGGCGUAAUGAUCUGGGCGCUGUCUCAACGAGGGGCACUGCGAAUUUGUGGUACCGGUGAAGACGCCGGUUGCCCGUGACAAGACGAAAAGACCCCUUGCACCUUUACUACAUCCUAGUAGUGAAUGCUGACGCAGUAUGCGCAGGAUAGGUGGGAGGCUUUGAUCUCGGGAUUUCGGUCUCGGGGGAGCCAACGGUGAGAUACCACCCUUACUGCUUCGGCGUUCUAACCUCGUUCUGUUAUCCAGAACAGGGACACUGCUAGGUGGGUAGUUUGACUGGGCGGUCGCCUCCUAAAUUGUAACGGAGGCGCGCGAAGGUUCGCUCAGGCUGUUUGGAAAUCAGCCAUAGAGUGCAAAAGCAUAAGCGAGCUUGACUGCGAGUCCUACAAGACGAGCAGGUGGGAAACCAGGCUUUAGUGAUCCGGUGGUUCCGCGUGGAAGGGCCAUCGCUCAACGGAUAAAAGGUACGCCGGGGAUAACAGGCUGAUCCUAGCCAAGAGUUCACAUCGACGCUAGGGUUUGGCACCUCGAUGUCGGCUCAUCGCAUCCUGGAGCUGUAGCAGGUUCCAAGGGUCCGGCUGUUCGCCGGUUAAAGCGGUACGUGAGCUGGGUUUAGAACGUCGCGAGACAGUUCGGUCUCUAUCUGUCAUGGGCGCAGGAGAUUUGAGUGGGGCUGACCUUAGUACGAGAGGACCGGGUUGGACGGACCUCUAGUGUAUCGGUUAUCGCGCCAGCGGUAGCGCCGAGUAGCUACGUCCGGAAGGGAGAAACGCUGAAGGCAUCUAAGCGUGAAACCCUCCACAAGAUGAGAUCUCCCUGGAUCGCAAGAUCCCUAAAGGCUCCUGGAAGAUUACCAGGUGAUAGGUCGGGUGUGUAAGCGUGGCGACACGUUGAGCUUACCGAUACUAAUCAGCCGUGAGGCUUGAUCAA
Molecule: ribosomal RNA, 1451 nt
Filed under: metagenome
Description: bacterial LSU rRNA
Rfam family: Bacterial large subunit ribosomal RNA
Source: RNAcentral